CUAUGACCGCCUACUGCUUCUCCAUCCCUAUUAUUCCGUCAUCCAUAACCAUCUGAUUUUAACAUCACAAAUUCGCUUCCAUCAAAAGGUUUCAAGAUCGCAGAUAUCUUCCAACAUUCCAAUUGUUACUAGAUCGGUUGAGAAUCGCUUCCUUUUAAGUUCACCAGAGUUAGAACGAGUUCCAUCCAUCGCCUUUGCUUUUUUUUUUUAGCUGGUUGAUCAGUUGCUGUCUUCGUCUUCCAAUCGGGACCCGUCACCCGCCUUCGUUGUUUCCUUCAAUGAUGGCCCACCACAAGAUUCUGGCAACGACCAGUGAAAACUGCACCAUCACCACACGUUUUCGCUCAAAACCCCUACCGCAUCACGACUCCGAAUCGUUCGCCCCGUUCAAAUUAUACAUAAAAGGGAUUUGUCUAUAGUGAAAGUUUCCAGCCAGCGGUAUUGUGGUUGGCCUUUGAUAUCUGGUUUUGGAUUUGAGCUAAAGAUAUCCCAGCCAUGGAUCUGUUCACACUUGGUAUUCGCAGAAAAUGAAGACUGGUCGGGCUUCCCAAUACACUCUCCUCCAAUCAGGAGUUUCUUUUGUUUGUCUUCAAUUUUGGGCUGUGGGUUUGUGGAAUCAAAGUUCAUGACUUGAGGGGAAAUUCAAGCCUUAUUUGUUUGCUCAGUUGAAGGAUCUUAAAUCUAAACUUGCUAUUCACUGUGUCGUUAACGUUACCAGUGUUGCGCCGAACAAGCUCUCCAUGAUUUAAGCUAUGAUUGAAAAAGACCCGGUAAGGUCAGAGAAGGAAGAUCAUUUGGCAAGAUUGUUGAGGUGGAAUCCAGUGAAUGAAAUGUUUCGUAAUACUUUCUUAUGGUUCAGGUUGUAUAUAGUUUGCUUAUUUACAAACCUAAUUUUUUUUUGUU
This is a non-coding RNA of Lactuca sativa (garden lettuce), 903 nucleotides long. The record is from RefSeq and is a predicted model, not a curated record. Lineage: Eukaryota; Viridiplantae; Streptophyta; Magnoliopsida; Asterales; Asteraceae.